GUGAGCUAGUUUUUCAGUCUCCCUUGUGGUCAAUGGAGAGAAAAAUGUGGCCAUAGGUGAGGCUCAUGAUCUGGUGUGUAUCCUAGGAUGAGAUAACUGUACCUUGAUGUGCAUGCUUCUGCUUAUUGACUGCAGAAGAGCUGUAGGCAGCUACCUUGGAUACAAAUGUUUGCUCAGUAGAGCAAUCCUUUUCAAUAAUCCCUGCAAGUAUUAAU
RNAcentral lists this long non-coding RNA (215 nucleotides) under Gallus gallus (chicken). Lineage: Eukaryota; Metazoa; Chordata; Aves; Galliformes; Phasianidae. The record is from RNAcentral.